RNAcentral lists this ribosomal RNA (532 nucleotides) under uncultured bacterium. RNAcentral's name for it is "bacterial SSU rRNA". It matches the Rfam family "Bacterial small subunit ribosomal RNA", at positions 25 to 523 of the family's 1533-position model. The record is from RNAcentral.
CAGGACGACGCUGGCGGCGUGCCUAAUACAUGCAAGUCGAGCGCAGGAAAUAAACGGAUCCUCAUCUGAGGUGAUGUUUAUGGAAUGAGCGGCGGACGGGUGAGUAAACAACGUGGGCAACCUGCCUGUAAGAUCGGGAUAACUCGCGGAAACGUGAGCUAAUACCGGAUAACACUUUUCAUCUCAUGGUGAGAAGAUAAAAGACGGUUUCGGCUGUCACUUACAGAUGGGCCCGCGGCGCAUUAGCUAGUUGGUGAGGUAACGGCUCACCAAGGCGACGAUGCGUAGCCGACCUGAGAGGGUGAUCGGCCACACUGGGACUGAGACACGGCCCAGACUCCUACGGGAGGCAGCAGUAGGGAAUCUUCCGCAAUGGACGAAAGUCUGACGGAGCAACGCCGCGUGAGUGAUGAAGGUUUUCGGAUCGUAAAACUCUGUUGUUAGGGAAGAACAAGUUGGGUAGUAACUGACCCAACCUUGACGGUACCUAACCAGAAAGCCACGGCUAACUACGUGCCAGCAGCCGCGGUAA